UGGACAGGACCGGCCUACCAUUACCAGCUACUCUCUUCUUUGUAGCUGACUUCUCUCCACUUUGAGUCGUCUAUGCCAGCUACAAUUGUUCAACAGUCAUAUGGAGCGCGUGUUCAUCCAAAUUUCUGCACAAACCCCAUUAUAUAGAGAGAGACCAAGAAGCAGCAGGGUGACAAUCAAUAGGACAAAGAGAGUGGCGAGCGCAACAGCCUUCGUUUUGCCAUAUAGAUCAUGGCUUGGAGGUGCCACAUGGACAUGGUUCUUCUGCUCGUUAUACUGGAGAUCAUUCUGCUCAUUGCGACGGCGCCCCGAGGGCUGGCGGAUUCGUGUGCCCGUGGGUUUGGAUGUCACCAAGGUGAUCCUGACUGGCCCGGAUGUGUUUGCCGCACAAGACUUUGUACUUGCGGCCGUUAAUCAAGACUGUACUUCCCUCAAAAAAUAUAUCAAGAUUGUAUUUUAUAUGUUUAGGGCGCUAGCGCCGAUCAGAUACAAAGUCUAACAUUCCCCCCUGUCGAAAGAAGAUCUAGUGUCCCCGCAAAGAAAGAAAGAAAGAAGAUCUAGUGUGGCUGGUUAAAGUUCAUCAUGUUUGUUGUACAAAGAUCAGCCCGCUGGCAUAUGUUUGAGUCCUAGAUAGAGUUUUGUUUCAGUUUUGAAUUCUGUUUAGGGAGGAGUACUCCUGUAAAAUGGCUUUUAACAGGUCUAGGUUGCAUCGUCUUUUUUUAUCACCCGGGCUGCAUGUUGUAAGGACCAAACCUGUUAGGUUUUGACUCUCCGUGCUUACCGUGCCUGUCACUGGAUUGAUUCGCCAGCAUACACGAUACCAAUGAAAUACCAACACAAAAUUAUCCUAUUCUAUUACAACGCAUGAUCCAGAAUACACAGUCUAAUACAAAUUGCUUUGCCCAAAGCUAGCUCAUCAAAGUAAAUAAAGUUAACAAUGAAAGUCUCAUCCGAUGCUAGAGGCGAAAUGUGUAGAGUGGAGACUAGCAAACCUACGCACCCUUACUCUUUGUGAAAUACACCUACAACAUAAUACGCUGCAGCCAGAAGGGCUCAAUCAGUAGGUGGAGGGAAUUUUGGCCUGUGCCACUAGUGAAGUCGGAUAUUCAACGGCUGCCACUCGAACUUCACGAGUUCGGUCUAUGCCACUACCACUUGCGGAAAAAUUAGUUACAUGCCCUCAGCGCCGUGCCGGCCAGUUGCCGUCUCCUUUGGGUUAGCUUACAUUCGGGACCCACCACUUCGUCAUAUCAGCUGUAGUUGAUGUACAUGCGUCCCGGAAUGCAUGAUUUAUCAUUUAGUUUUUUUCUCUAUAUGUGUGUUGUGUAAAGAGUACUUUUCUGGUGAUUUAAUACAUCAUUUUGGUGUGGUUGCAACCUUGGCCUGCAGCAACCGAUGAUCUCUCAUGUAUGACCAGGCAACCUGUGUAUAUGG
Molecule: non-coding RNA, 1434 nt
Organism: Aegilops tauschii subsp. strangulata
Lineage: Eukaryota; Viridiplantae; Streptophyta; Magnoliopsida; Poales; Poaceae
Source: RefSeq, a predicted model, not a curated record